Molecule: long non-coding RNA, 2178 nt
Filed under: Betta splendens (Siamese fighting fish)
Lineage: Eukaryota; Metazoa; Chordata; Actinopteri; Anabantiformes; Osphronemidae
Description: lncRNA (ENSBSLG00000026164.1)
Source: RNAcentral
GGCUGACGAGGGGUGGACAGCAUGGAGAGAUGAGGAUCCAGUAGAGGAGGAAUGCGUGGAUGGCUAAUAAGACCCCCGCAGAGCAGCUACACAGGAAACAGGAGCAUCUAUAGAAUAAACCGGAACAAAUUGAAUAAUCAACACGUGUAACAUAACGGAAUAGAAAAGCCUAUAUUAGACAAUCAAGGCUUGCAAUAUAGUUGCCAUGGAGAUGAGCAAGUCUCCCAAGCCUCGUCAUUUCUCUGACUCCUCCCGUGAACGCUGGGAUAAAAAUAGACAUGGGCAGAGAACAAAGAGCUAUUAAAAAAAAAAAAAAGACGAGUGAAGAAAAAAGGUUGUGGAAAAAAAAUCGGGACGCGCGUAUGGAAGUGUGCGCGUGCGUCCGGGGCGGCGCGCGUGUGUCUGUUUAGUGAAUGGAAUGGUGCGAGGCCACCAUGCAACAGUGUUUUCCCAUCAAACGGAGCGGACUGAUAAACAUAGCUGCUGCCUGUGUGGGCAAGGGAAUCCCAUCAUUAGCAUGUGGCGCUAUUAAAGCGGGAGGAGGCUGAGCGCGCGGCUAGCAGCUAGCUACCGCUCCGAAUGGAAGUCCCCCUCCUCCUCUAAUUAUCAGCGUUAACUUUAUUAGCGGUAGUAACACUGGGAGUGAAACUGUGAAUAUAUUCACAUUUAUUCCAACAGCUUUUGUGCUGUUUACUACGUGUGCGGCUGCUCUGUUACACGAUGCAUGUCUUUAUAUAGCAUCAAAUAAGCUAAGCCAGCGACAAACCUCAACUGAAAGUAGGUUUAGUAGGUUGACUCAGGGGAGGAGACGGCUCGGUGAGAGACCCAGAGAGUGGCAGCUGGCCCCGGAUAACAGGACAACUGCUAAUGGGACGCCCCAUCUGCUGCUCCUUUUUUUCCUGGCCGUCCCGGCGCCAACCUCUGGGCCUCUGGAAACGCUCCUGAGCUCUCCUGCUGUUUGGCAUUUCAUCAUAUCAUGACGUUAUUUACCCCAACCUCCACAGUCGCCCCCCCAAAACAUUUGAAACUGCAACUUCUAGUGCAUGAAAUCAAAUGGCAAAUGAUCUGAUUUAUGGAAAGUGGCAGCGGGAAGUCGCCGAGUGUCACAGAUUCAAAAGGGGAUGGAGAAAAAGCGGCGACUAAAGGCUGACAGGAUGAAUGACUCACUGACAAGAGGCUGGACCCAGUUGCACAUAAAUAUAAUAUGGGGAGCAAGAUACAAAUGUACAAAAGUACAAAUUCAAAACGCAGAAGUAUCAAAGCAACACUUAAAACAGAAGCGAGGAGAACCAAUUACUGCUCAAUUUACAGCUUAACAAUCAUUAUGCCAAAUUACAGCAUGAUGGAAAGCAAAGUCCAAAACAUACACACACAUAUACUGGAAACCGAUGUGACACGAUGCACCAGCCAAUGAAGAGCAUGUGAGAAACGAGUCCUUAUCUACUGGCUCCCCUAAAGGAAGCACUGCCCCCUCGGACCUCUCUGAUUUGUAAAGUGCAAAGCACCCCUCUACCUCGCAGUAUAUAUUAUAACCUCCUUUCUCCUGUGCUGGAUUUAUAGUCACCAUCAGUCACUUGUCUUCAUGCUGGACACUAGACUAAUGAUGGUGAUGCUGAUGCGAGAGGCCCUCCGCUUCCUCAUUCCUUCACCCUCCUGCCUGAGCGAGCAACACAUGGAUCAAACCUGCCUGUGCAGCACCAUCUGGUGACCACUGCUGUGAGUCAGGAAUCUCUCUCACAGAUGAAUGAGGGGGAAUGAAAUUCAGCUCCCACUCAUAUUUUUUCCUCCCUUCUUGUAAUACCGCUGUGAUCCUCUGGAUGGUGUCUCAAUCCUGUGCUCUUUUUCCUCACUGGCGGUGUGGGGGGAUUUUAAGGGCCACACACAGACAAGCAUGGAGAUUCUCAUCUGUUCUUUUAGGAGACUUUACUCUUUGCCACACACUGCAUGAAUGAUUUUCUUAGUGAAGGCUUUUCUCUAGCACUGACAUGGCCCAUGUUAUUGUUUUCACCUCCACCUACAAGAACAGCUCUGAUUAAUAAUACUGAAGUAAGUGUUUCACAGAGCUCUUGAUUAUAUUGAAGAUCCUGAUCACUGAUGUCUCUAAACCUUGGGGGGUGGGGGGUUAAUUAAAGCAAUUAAAUUAAUAAAAAGGAUGAUGACAAAGUACUGAAAUAAUUA